RNAcentral lists this ribosomal RNA (613 nucleotides) under uncultured bacterium. RNAcentral's name for it is "bacterial SSU rRNA". The stretch from base 1 to 522 matches the Rfam family "Bacterial small subunit ribosomal RNA", at positions 338 to 873 of the family's 1533-position model. The record is from RNAcentral.
CCUACGGGAGGCAGCAGUGGGGAAUAUUGGGCAAUGGAGGAAACUCUGACCCAGCGACGCCGCGUGCGGGAUGAAGGCCUUCGGGUUGUAAACCGCUUUCAGUAGGGAAGAAGCGAAAGUGACGGUACCUACAGAAGAAGCACCGGCUAACUAUGUGCCAGCAGCCGCGGUAAUACAUAGGGUGCAAGCGUUGUCCGGAAUUAUUGGGCGUAAAGAGCUCGUAGGUGGUUCGUCACGUCGGAUGUGAAAAUCUGGGGCUCAACCCCAGACCUGCAUUCGAUACGGGCGAUCUAGAGUGUGGUAGGGGAGACUGGAAUUCCUGGUGUAGCGGUGGAAUGCGCAGAUAUCAGGAGGAACACCAAUGGCGAAGGCAGGUCUCUGGGCCAUUACUGACACUGAGGAGCGAAAGCGUGGGGAGCGAACAGGAUUAGAUACCCUGGUAGUCCACGCCGUAAACGGUGGGCACUAGUUGUGGGAACCUUCCACGGUUUCUGCGACGCAGCUACGCAUAAGUAGCCCGCCGUCGGGAGGUACGAGCGCGAAGAAGUUAAACGUAACGUAAAGGUAAGUUAGUUAGGCGUGAGAGUGCGACGGACGACGACGAGGGAGGAGG